Prolemur simus (greater bamboo lemur) is the source of this 130-nucleotide small nucleolar RNA. Its record names the gene SNORA70. It matches the Rfam family "Small nucleolar RNA SNORA70". Rfam says of the family: snoRNA U70 seems to be exclusive to mammals and is a member of the H/ACA class of snoRNA which contain H (ANANNA) and ACA box motifs. H/ACA box snoRNAs are involved in the conversion of uridines to pseudouridines (5-ribosyluracil) a constituent of structural RNAs (transfer, ribosomal, small nuclear, and small nucleolar). The record is from Ensembl. Lineage: Eukaryota; Metazoa; Chordata; Mammalia; Primates; Lemuridae.
CUGCAGCCAGUGAGGCCCAUGGUGCUCCUUUCCUCUCGGGCCCAACGUGCAACCGCUGCAAACAGCCCCCUUGACAGUGUACGCAGCCUGUGGCUUCUGCGAGUUGCUCGAAGGGACCCUGGAGACAGCC